This 824-nucleotide ribosomal RNA is filed under the name Leptographium sp. RNAcentral's name for it is "eukaryotic LSU rRNA". It matches the Rfam family "Eukaryotic large subunit ribosomal RNA", at positions 76 to 929 of the family's 3401-position model. The record is from RNAcentral. Lineage: Eukaryota; Fungi; Ascomycota; Sordariomycetes; Ophiostomatales; Ophiostomataceae.
UGCCCCAGUAACGGCGAGUGAAGCGGCAACAGCUCAGAUUUGGAAUCUGGCCCCCAGGGCCCGAGUUGUAAUCUGGAGAGGAUGCUUCUGGCGCGGCGCCGUCCGAGUUCCCUGGAACGGGACGCCGGAGAGGGUGAGAGCCCCGUACGGUCGGACGCCUAGCCGAUGUGAAGCUCCUUCGACGAGUCGAGUAGUUUGGGAAUGCUGCUCAAAAUGGGAGGUAAAUUUCUUCUAAAGCUAAAUACCGGCCAGAGACCGAUAGCGCACAAGUAGAGUGAUCGAAAGAUGAAAAGCACUUUGAAAAGAGAGUCAAACAGUACGUGAAAUUGUUGAAAGGGAAGCGCCCGUGACCAGACUUGCGCCCCGCGGACCAUCUGGCGCUCUGCGCCGGUGCACUCCGCGGGGCGUGGGCCAGCAUCGGUUCUCCCAGGGGGACAAAGGCGGCGGGAACGUGGCUCCCACGGGAGUGUUAUAGCCCGCCGCGCCAUGCCCCUGGGGGGACCGAGGACCGCGCUUCGGCAAGGAUGCUGGCGUAAUGGCCACCGGCGACCCGUCUUGAAACACGGACCAAGGAGUCAAGCAUUGGGGCGAGUGUCUGGGUGCCAAACCCGCACGCGAAAUGAAAGUAAACGCAGGUGAGAGCUUCGGCGCAUCAUCGACCGAUCCUGAUGUUCUCGGAUGGAUUUGAGUAAGAGCCUUACCGCUUGGACCCGAAAGAUGGUGAACUAUGCCUGUAUAGGGUGAAGCCAGAGGAAACUCUGGUGGAGGCUCGCAGCGGUUCUGACGUGCAAAUCGAUCGUCAAAUAUGGGCAUGGGGGCGAAAG